UAGGGAAUAUUGGGCAAUGGGCGCAAGCCUGACCCAGCAACACCGCGUGAAGGAAGAAGGUCUUCGGAUUGUAAACAUCUGUUGUAAGGAAAAAAUAAAUGAUGGUACCUUACAAGAAAGCCCCGGCUAACUAUGUGCCAGCAGCCGCGGUAAUACAUAGGGGGCAAGCGUUGUCCGGAAUCAUUGGGCGUAAAGGGUGCGUAGGCGGCCUUGUAAGUUAAAUGUGAAAUCCUGCGGCUUAACCGCAGAACUGCAUUUAAAACUGUGAGGCUUGAGUAUGGAAGAGGUAAGUGGAAUUCUCUAGUGUAGCGGUGGAAUGCGUAGAUAUUAGGAGGAACACCAGGGGCGAAGGCGGCUUACUGGGACAUUACUGACGCUGAGGCACGAAAGCGUGGGGAGCAAACAGG
This 407-nucleotide ribosomal RNA is filed under the name uncultured bacterium. RNAcentral describes it as "bacterial SSU rRNA". It matches the Rfam family "Bacterial small subunit ribosomal RNA", at positions 355 to 776 of the family's 1533-position model. The record is from RNAcentral.